AACAUGUUCCCCAUAGGAUUUUCUUUGGUUCAUUCUUGGCUAAGUUUGAACUAAAGUAGACCUUAGGUUGGAUAACCAAGCAUGACAACAAUCUUCUUUUAUCUCUUUUCUUUGUGUGAACAACAUGUUCCCCAUAGGAUUUUCUUUGGUUCAUUCUUGGCUAAGUUUGAACUAAAGUAGACCUUAGGUUGGAUAACCAAGCAUGACAACAUUA
RNAcentral lists this long non-coding RNA (214 nucleotides) under Lathyrus oleraceus (garden pea). RNAcentral describes it as "Pisum sativum (pea) long non-coding RNA (PSAT_LNC011587)". Lineage: Eukaryota; Viridiplantae; Streptophyta; Magnoliopsida; Fabales; Fabaceae. The record is from RNAcentral.